RNAcentral lists this ribosomal RNA (231 nucleotides) under uncultured bacterium. Its description in RNAcentral is "partial 16S ribosomal RNA". It matches the Rfam family "Bacterial small subunit ribosomal RNA", at positions 103 to 334 of the family's 1533-position model. The record is from RNAcentral.
CGGGUGAGUAACGCGUGGGUAACCUGCCUCAUACAGGGGGAUAACAGUUAGAAAUGACUGCUAAUACCGCAUAAGCGCACAGUGCUGCAUGGCACAGUGUGAAAAACUCCGGUGGUAUGAGAUGGACCCGCGUCUGAUUAGCUAGUUGGUGGGGUAACGGCCUACCAAGGCGACGAUCGGUAGCCGGACUGAGAGGUUGAACGGCCACAUUGGAACUGAGACACGGUCCAA